Xyrichtys novacula (pearly razorfish) is the source of this 18545-nucleotide non-coding RNA. The record is from the annotation of a GenBank genome assembly. Lineage: Eukaryota; Metazoa; Chordata; Actinopteri; Labriformes; Labridae.
UCGGAUUGGAGUCUAAACCUCAUUACACACAAUUGUUGAAAUAUGUGCAGGCGAACACUCACAGAAACAUACUUACAACAAACAUACACGUUUAAUGAGUCAUUACUGGAGCAUCAACAGGCCACAUCCUGAAGUGGAAGCAGAAACUAAGUCCAUCAGGGCUGUGUCAUCAGACCGACACAAAAACAGAACAGGAUGCUGUGAUAUCAAAUGAUAACAGCAAAGAGGUAAUGACAAAGUAUGUGUGUCCUGGUGAGUGUUUGCCAGCUAACCCUUUGGUGUUGCUGGCUAGUUUCUAAUUAUACCUUCCCUGCCUUCAUGUGCAGCAGAGCAGAUAGCUAGCUAUCCAAACUAAAGCCUCUAAUUACUUCAUCUUACUCAAUCUACACGAGGAUUCAUGAAAUGAGGUGCACCACAGCACUCUUGAGUUUUUGUGAUGCAACUCAAACAAACAAGAAAAUAAAGGGAUCUUGGCUCUCGAUCUGUUCAAUUGCACGACAGCACACCCCGUAUCUUGGCUGUUGAGCAAUGGAUGCGCUCUAGUGUGUAGACGAUGAAUCCACCCAAAUACACCUUGGUGCCUGUAAUUAGAGCUGUUUAGAUUAGAAGAUGGUGAGGAAAUUACUGUACUUUCUGCUUGAUUCUCGUGUCAGAUCAAAAGGAGCAAAAGAUGUGCCUGAUAUUUGACCUGAUAACCUCUUCUGUUUACAUCCACAAGUAGACAAGGUGAGGUCAACUCUGACCUAAGUCCAUGAUUGAAAGACUACUUAAGUGUUGCACUUAUACCUAUUAUCCUGAUGUUUUUGAACUUCAAUUUUGUAUGGCUUCUACUUUUAUUUUACAGCUUUUCACCAUGAAACAUUCCACAAUUGCUUCGCUUCAUUUAUUACACGGCAUCUGGAACGAGAUGCUUCAUAAAUAAAGAUUUUUAUGAUGCAAAACUAAACCUAUUACACAGAUUUCCAAACUUUUUCAAUCAAAACCCCCUAAAAAAUGUUGUGUUCCUCCAGGACUCAAAUUUAGAAAAAUACAACACGAGACACUGCUUAUAACUAUUAACCAAUAAAAAAGAAAAAGAAAAGCAUGAAUUUAAAAUGUGUAUGAAAUGUAUUAAUCACCUCUAGUCAAAGCUUUAACUGGGCCCGUUCACUCUAAACACAGUACUUGCACUUCCAAAUGUAACCCCUAAGCAUAAUGGGGCUAUUUCUGGAAAAUUGGGACCAAACAUCGUCUGCCAUACCCUUUUCCUGUCCUCGCCACAUUAUAGUAUUUUUAGGUGAAGCAGCAGAGGUGAGCAUUGUGUCUCUUGGCACAGUGGACAUUCACUGGCAGGUUUGUACCGAGCACAUGGCUUAGUAAGGUUGUGAAUUUUCAUGUGGGAACUGAGAAGUAUGACGAGAGGAUUAUUAGGGGUUAAUGUCAAAUUAUAUUUGAAAUGCUGGGUUUUAACUAGACUGUAUAAUAACUAGAUGCAGCGUCUGUGUUUGUGAAGCAGAGUUUUACAGCCUAUAGGCAGAAGUCGCCAUAUCGGUAAUGCUGACUUAAUUAGUCAACCUACCAAAAGCGGGCCUCCUCCUUGUAGCUGCCCGUCAGUCAAGUCAGGUCAUUUGACCAUCUUGAAUGCAUUAUAAAAAAUGUCACUUCCUCUAUUGAGGGUGCUGUAGGAGCCCUGAGCUGUACAGACCAAAACGAUAUUUUCGGUCUUGAUUUUGAACCAGGCAAAUUUGGCUCUUGUUGUCGUACGCUGUACAUGGUUUUCAGUGCUUCUGCAGCCAAAAAACUCAGAGAACCGCAGUUUCUAGCUCUUAUAGCCACAUCGACCUAAUUUGUCAACACCUGAGGUUGCUGCGUGGUUUUAACAUAAUGUCUAGCACUAACAGAAUGCUGGUUGAUGGGAUUUGUUGUAGACUUUUGUGGGGAAUUUCAUUUGGCUAUUGCAAGCUGCUGAUUUAGGCUAACAGCUAACAUGCUGCAACAAGUUCACGCAGAGCUAACUUUACCAGCCAAGUGUCACUGUAGGGCCACAGAAGGAAUGAGGGGGGCGAGUGACGGCCACUCACACUGCCAAUGUGUCGAACAUUACUUGGUUUGAUAAGGAAAAUAAAUUUAGGCAUUUUACUCCAAGCAAGAACUCGCUGGCGGCCAAAUUUUGAGUUCUGACCCUAAAUUUGAGAAAGGUUGGCUCAAGAAAAAUAGUUCAUUGUUUUCUAGCAGUUUAUGCUAAUAGAUGAAGAUUGCUGUACACGUUAGAGUAAAAAGAAAAAUAAACGAAAUGUAGGACAUUCAUAAAAACAUGAUUUUUGCCAAUUUUUCUGCAUGAUUAGAAAUAGUUUUAAUAAAAUUGCAUGUCUUUGGUCGUUGUUUGUAAAAAUUUCAGUGAAGCCACUUGUUACUCGGAGGCAGUGAUUGUACUUUUAAUAAAGUCUGCUGAAAUGGUGGUACGGCUCAUUUUUCCCCUAGAGACGGAAUGAGUUUAGGGUACACAAAUUUGAAGUAUGCAGGCAGACAUACAGAAAAACACGCUCCAUUUAAACUAUUUAGUGUCCAUUUUUCACAGUAAUUAAGAGUAAUGGGAGCAUUGUCAGCAGUACAAUAUACCAUGCAGGGGCAGCCAAGUCAUGUUUGUGGGGGUCCUGGAAUCUGUGUGUGUGUGGAUGUGUGUGUGAGGCUGUCAUCAUUACUCCAACCACAGACUAACACAGGCCACAGGCAUGUGCCCCAAACUCAACGAAGGCCAGUAUAUGUGUGUUUGUGUGUGUAUAUCUGUGUUUGUGUCAGACACGCAGCUACGGUACAUUUAGUGGACUCCGCAGUUACAACAGCAGCAACAACAACGUGCACUCAUGGCCUCACAUACCAACACACAGCUAUUACACACAUACGCUGACACAUGUCCACACAUGUACUCACACACAUACUAACACACCCUUAUAGAAGCGAAUCUAGGGGUGUGAGAGGUUUGGAGUUAACAGCACACUCGCCCACACAACUGUAUCCAAACCAAUUACAUUUAGUGUUGUCAUACCACAAGGAUGAAUCAGCAGCUCCACUGACAUGCGUUUUUUCAUGCUACUGUUGACUUCCACGAGCUGGAAACAUGUACUACAGCAAAAUGUAAUCUCAAAGACACACAUGCACACUAUUAAUCAUAAACAUACACAUUUACACAUGUAAGUUCAGGGAGUAUGCAUAACCCAAACGCAAAGCAGAACGGAUUUUAAUCUAACUGGGCUGACAUUCAUCAAAGUAAGUGCAUCAUGAUAACAUUUAAUAGGCAAUUAUAGCUCAAACUUAUUUGUUUAUACCGCUGUCUUCAAAUCUGCUAUCACCUUUCAAGAUCUAAGCCUUCACAAUAAAGCUUUUCUCUGCUGGAGUACCUGGUGUAUCUGCCAUUGUUAUUCUAACAUCGCUGCCAAACACCCUUGACAGACAACCCUGAGUUAACAAACCCAUGAGUGAACCAUCAGAGAUGAAAGGGUAAAGAAGCAGGGCUGUGUACACAGAGGCAAUGCAUGUUAUUUUGUCAGAUGAAAGAGAUGGCAUACUUCUGGAAUGAGCAUUCGGAUCAAAAACAAGCUCUUAUGUAAACAUCAUUUCACAGGGAGGUGUCAAACUUCUGGGCGCUGGCAACGAAUCGCUUCAUGGCGAAGAAGCACAAUGCUCACUAUUCAUCUUUGUGGGAUGACAAUCUGCCUGGUUGAGCAACAACGGGAAAUCUCCCCGUCCUUGGGAAAUAAUAAUUAAACAAAGGACAACUCAGUCAGCACAAUACGCUGAGUGUGUGAACACAGGUGGAGAACAGGUUUGCUCUGCUCAUUUGACUUGGGAGCGACGUCAACAGAAGAGAGGAAACAAGGCUUUUACAGAGCGAGGUGGUGACGCGAUGUUCUUUGAAUGGGUUUCAUGUUACGCUCCAGGUUAUUUACCUGUGACUGUUGUUCUGUUUAACUCUUGCUCAUUAGUUACUAGUAUUUCACCUUUCCUGAACUCUCUGUCCUGACACUGGAGUUAGAUUUCACCACAGUGAUGUGUUUCGGGCAAGCAGCAACCCCCGUGAAAGGAAGCUGAAGGUUAAGUGCAAAAAAAAAAAAUUGCAGUUCUUUAAUUGUCCACUUGAGGCUGGUUGCAAGAGACAAGAAAACCUCACUGACAUUCAUGUGAAAUCGUCCAUUUUACGUCUGUUGCAUAACUAGGGUAACCACUGAGACUAAUGACAGGCAGGCAUCUUUGUCCCUUUCUAGGUUGACUGAGAGUAAGGAUUAGUCAGCGUCUCCUGAAUGGUGACCAACAUUACUUGGCUUCUACCACUGGGUAAUUUCGUUGAAGCUAUGUCUAUGUUUUAUACAGUUUAUUGUCAUGAAAUUACUCUAGAUGUGAUUAGCUUAACUAUGCAUUACAUAGAGGAUGGAUGCCAGCCUGCCCCUUCAGAUUAGGGGCACACAAAAACAUAUGUGCUGUGACCACAGCGUAAAAGUGCUGUUUACGAACCACAAGCCUUUGUCAGUAUGUUCAAAUGUGGAAACUUGAUAAAGCAUGAGACCCGAGCAGGUAAGCAUUAAAUAGUCAAAUUUUUUUAUCAGUUGUAGAAGUGUUGGGAAUCCACUUAUCCAUUCACAUUAGUGUUAAUCUGACAAUAGUAUUUAACUUGAUGAUGGACUUUAGUAAGAUAGUGAUCUUAAUUCGAUGACAUCUUUGCUAACAGCCCCUGGGGCUAUGAAACCCUCAAAAAGAACAUCUUGUAUUUUGACUGACAGAAUACAAGUCUGCUUGGCGUCCUGCCAGCCGAUGAUUCAGAGAUGAAUCUUUAAUUUUUGAAAGGCAGCCCACGAGAGAAGUUUGCCUUAUACAUCUGGUAAGCACCACUUUGUUUUUGAACAAGUAAAAUAGCCCCAUCUCUGGUGACAAGGUGUCAUGAUGCUGUACACAGUCACUGCGCCUGGAUCACAUUUGCCAAAAGAAAGGUCCAAUAUGUGUGAAACCUCAAACAUAAAUUUUUACACUUCUAUUGUGUGUCUUUUUCCAUGUGGCGGACACGAGGCCUGGCACGUCUCUGAGCACCAUCCCCGGGACAGAUCCGUGACACUGGGCUCCUUUACCAGGGGAGGCCUAUAAAUGACUGGUUUGAUCCAUCCUGGUGUUCCUUCCAUCUGCAGCUGACACCUCCUCUGUGGUCUCAGGUCCCUCUACUAUGAUGUCAUACAAUGUUUGAGUCCUGGUUUACCACAUGAAGGAAACUUGGCCACACUGACUUCAGCUGUAAAGGCCCAUAGUCGGUAAGUGUGUUGGUCUUAAACAGAAACAAGUGGUCGUAUUAUGUUGCCUGAGCUGCCUGUUACAGUAACGCUUCAUGAAAGCCUGAGUAAAGAGAUACCUGACCACAAUACCCAGUGUUUUGCUUUGCUCUGUUGCCUUCUGGACUCUAUUUAUUUUCAAUUUGCCGCUGGCUUUCCUACCAAAGCCAGUGGUGGCACAACUGGAGGACAAUGUACGCACUUCAAUUCACACUACCACCUGUAUCCUUCAGGUGGAUUCUCACACACUCUCCCUCUCUCUCUCUCUCUCUCCAUAUGCAACAUAUCCCAGUGCUUGUACAGCUGCAACCAAUUCACUGCAAACAAACAAUCUGCCCAUUGUUUUUACAAAUAAUAUCCCAAUAUGCAGCGUCUACCCGCUCUGCCAGACGAGCAUGAAGCAAACAGAUGCUUCUGAAAAGUGGGGGCAGCAUUACAGCUGGGGAUAAAAUGCCUACUCUUCAUUAUAGUUGGUCCAGAAGCUUGCUGCUGGCGGCUUGGGGCUGGUGCUAGGACAAGGGCCAGGACCAGCGCUGGCUCAGCUCCUGGCUGCUAUGUUAAGUCUGCCUCAGCCACAACCACAUUGCGCAAAGCUGCUUCACACAUAUAAUUUACUCAUUAUUCAAGAAGUCUUCGAAGUAGUCAAAAAAUAUGCUGCCCAGUGAGAGACACGGUGGAAAACUAACACAGAGCGAGUCGCCAUUCUGUGAGAAAUAGAGUUGUAUCCAGUUAUAUAAUAUUAAGAGAUGGCAGGCUUAUGGAGUCACAGUCAAUUAGCACAGCUGAUUGCAUAGAGGAGACCACAGAAACCUUAUACUUUAAAAAUUCUUAAUAGUACUCAAGGAGACAGAUUUACCAAUGAUUGGCACACUCCAGUAUGAGUGCAUGCCAUCAGCAGAUACCGGUUACUGUGUCUGAUUUAGUAUGCUUACAGCGCUCGGAUUACUUUUUACAGGGCAGGAAAUAGACGUCUCAGAGUCCUUGGUUCGUUCCAUGAAACAUCCUUAACAGGAGAUGAGCGAGUUUUUCAGACAUGGGUGACUAUUGUGGUGUUUAAGCAAGAGCAUCAAAAGCCCUGAGAGUUGUGUAAUGGAAUACCUUUCCUUUCAGACAAUGACAAAGUAACGGUCAAAGAAGUUGUCUCAUUAGCAGUCAUCAGGUCUUAAUCACAGCCUUUACACCACUUGCUAUCUCUUCCACGUCACCCUACCCCCCCCUUUAAACCCAUUUCUUCUGCUUCAUCAACCAAACUCUUUAAUGUCCCUACUUGUUUUUCAUCCUUUCAAAAUCCUACUGUCUUUAACCCCGCCAUAGAAAAUGAUUAAAUGCACAGCCUCAUUUGUGUAGGGACUUUGCAAAGGUGGAGUCUUUGGUAAUAGAAUGAAAGGGAGGAGGCUGGCGGGCUUUGAUCUCUCUGGGGGGCAAAUGGAUUGGAUUGUCUUGCCCCUGCUGGUGGGGCUAAGCUGGGGACAGUGUGAGACGCAGGGGGUCAUAUCAAAGGUGGUUACCUUCAGAGGGGCUCCUCGGCGGCACAUUAGUACACUAUCUAAAUGUUGAUUUGUUCGCACCAACAUCAGAGGAGGACUAAAUGAGCUGACAAAAGGGAACACCCUGUGAAUGUGAAUGAGCUAAGUGGUCAAGUUCACCUCUUUAGGGUCACAUCUUUUUAUCUUUCUCAUCCUUUCAGCCAGUGUUUGAUUCGAGGCCUUAUUUAGAUGAGAAGAGCUUCAUUAAAAACUGACAAGUCUUUCCAUCCAUUUAAAAAAAAAUCUGUUUCUUUGACACUGAUAUGAAAACGAUGGCUGACCAGUUAUUGGUGGUAUAACUUUGUAACCAACACCAUGAGCCUUCAUUGUGGUCAGUAAAAGCCUGUUAAAAGUGUAAACUCAGUAUAGUCUACAUAAAUAUAACAUAGACCAAUAUAAAUGGAUUCCCCAUGGUGUUUUCAAAAGCUUUCACUGUGUAGCUCAGGCUCCAAAUUUUGUUUCAGCUGUCAAAACAGCACAAGUUCACCAUCUUGUGUAAACAGCUCCCAAAACUAUCACGAGUAGACAAUUUAAAAAGCUUCCGUCUAUAACAGUCAGUCUCAAAUAGAUCUUAUACGCCGAUUCUUCCAUUCAUAGCACCCACUGUUAAUAGCACAGCAUGCUCAUCGUCUAUGUUGUGGUAAAGCAAUGAUUGGGAACACCCUAUAGCCCCAGCAAAAAAGCCAUGUUGAGGUCUGUCUGUGUGUGUGUGUUCCUCCAUUGUGGGUGGGAAACAUCAUAUUACUGUCACUCUCACAGCUGACAUUUGGAGAAAAGGUAUAAAUCAAACACACACAUACACCCCAGCAGCCACUGUCAGCCAUAGACAGACAGACACAAAGAAUGAACUUUAUCAUGCAUGACAUCUUUGCCUCUAAUUUGAUCAUUUGUGGACAUCGAAAUGUUCACAAAUAUCCCUGCUGGUGCAAACCACAGACUUCUCAUGCAUCUGUUUGAGAGAACCACUGUUGCAUUUUACACCCCCCUGAAGCCGCAGGGCUAACAUUAGAGAAAAGAGUAGGUGGGUGUUUUGUUUUUGGAUUUGAGAAAAAAAAAAGAAUUGGACAAGAAACUUCUUAGAAGUUGAGUGACUCAAGAUUUAAUUAUAACACAACUGCCAGAAGCUCUGAACCUGCGGAGUGACUGCUGUUCCUCACCAGUAAAAAGCAAGUCAAAGCAUAUAGUUCUAUCUUUAUUAUUAUAAGCCCUCCCAGGCUUGUUAGAAUGAAUUCUCAGCAAUAACCAUAAAAGAAGAAAAUUAGACUCUUUCCCUGGUGUCACAGUUUGCCAUUCUCUUUGUGCAUGGCCCAAAUGUGGGAUUGCAAAUAAGCAUCUCUAUUUUUAGGGAUUUUAAGACCAGCAGCACCCGUGUGGGUCAUUCCAUAUCAUUAGAAACAGCUCCAGAGAUGAACAAAUGCUCAUGGCGCUCGUAUAAUUCUGGUCUUUAACCUUAUAGUACAGUGAAAUCGAAGCCAAGCCUAAAACCUCCUUCCAUCAUUGGUGUUAUUUUUGAAUCUAUACUGAAAUUUGGGUUGACACAUUGAUUUAAAAUGCCUACUUCUUUGGUUAUCUCAUGCAUCAAAUGUUCAACUCAGCACAUUCUUCAGCAGCUUGAACCCAACUCAGAAGCCUCAGCCUAACCCCCUGUUCCUGACAUGUACAUUUCAGCUCUUCCCCAUACUCAGUCAUUAGCCCUGCUGUCUGACUUCUGAGCUCUUACUCCAGUCUGCUGCUGCUGGUGGUAAAUAUUUGCUAGAAAGAGAUUGCGUUCUAAAAUGGUACUCCAAUGUCUCCUUUGCAUAAUAGUUGCUGUGAAGGCCUCCAUUGUCUCGUUUAAACUGACCACAGAGUGUAUUUUGGUGAUGUCGGCAAGGCUUGGCUUCUCUACAACUCUAAUUAGCAUUCCUUCCAGAUAAAACAAUGAUCACUUGAAUACGACCGAGCUAAGCCUGCAGGAAGUGAUCUAAAGAGCUGAUAGGGAACCUGUGAUUACCAAGCAACUAACUCCAGUCCUUCAUGCAUAAUGUUUUAAUUCAACAUCACCCCCUGCCACCCCAUGUUGUCCCAUCACUAAUCUUGUCCAAUGUUAUCUUCAAACUACUGCUUUGUCCCCGCAGCUACAGGCUUUAUCAUUUAUUGAUUAUGUCUCUCAGAUUAAAGGAGCUGCUUUCAUUUCCACAAGAAUGCGCCCCUCGCUUUGUGUCCAUAUGGAAGCAUUUGCCGGACAGAUGGGUUAUUUUCCUAGGUCCCGCCGGUCAGAAAGAGAUUCACAGGGACUUGGUAAGAAGUGGUGCUGCUGAUGACCAAUUGUCGCUCGCUUUGAAGUCCAACUCCAAGGUGAUCUGAGCGUUUAUGAGAAACGGGGGAAAGUGUGAAAAACAUGCAGGAAUAUGUUAAAGUAAGGUGAAGCUGAAAAUCUGAACCCUAAAUCUCAUGAGCCACUUUUAAAAGUCUUCAUCUUAAUUCCUCCAGACAAUCCAGGCCUGUCAAAUGGGCACAUAAUACCACCUCAAACCCCCUCAAGCCUUACAGACUUAAUUCCAUGUGCUGAGAAGCUGAAUUGCCUGAAUGUGGGUUACACACAAAUGACGGACAUUUUGUCUUGGGGUAAGUACUAAUAUGCCACUGUUGUUGCCCAGGCUGUCUGUAUCUGGGUUUUGGUUUAAAUGUUGGGUUUACUCUCCCUGGGCUGUGCGGUUUGCAGCAGCUUAAUCACAAAGCCACAAGCAUCUCAGCCAUUUUGAUAGGAGCCAAACUGGGGAGGCUUCGUAUGUUACACUGUUUUUUGCUCGAUAUAGAGGUCUCUUUCUGCAGAGUCAGCAAGGCUAACGAGAUUGAAAUAGUUCUUGUUGACAAAUUGAAAAUGUGCAAAUAAAAAGAGAGUAAACCUGAGAGAGUUAUGGACUGUAAAAUGUUACGGGCAGUAAAUCUAGCGAGCAGGAGCUAGGUUCUGCUUGUGAAGAAAUGGAAAGAACAUUUAAUUUUUUGAAAUUCAACCUGGAAGGAAAUACAUAAGUAUCAAAAACAUUUAAAGAUCCCCUGAAUGGUGAAAUUUAAACCAAAUUAUGCAUUAAUGUAGGGAUUCGAUAUGGUUUUUGGACAGCUUCUUUUAGUUUUCGUGCUUGGACAAGUGGAGCAUCUGGAGACAGUUUCCAGAUCAGUCUCAGUCUGGGAUGGAAGAUGAGUGAGGAACCAAAGCAUGGCUCUAAGAUUAAAGAGAAUGAGGAGAUAAAAGAUCUUCGAAUUGACAAUUACUACCACAAGCUUCUGAGAGAUAACACAGAUCACUAGUCUGCGAACACACACUCAACAUCUUUUCACUUAUCAGCUCCAGACAGGCGCUUCUCAAUCCACGUGUCCUGAUCACAAAUAAUAUUUCCCAGCACGCAGGUGUUUACAAUCCUUGCCGAACAACCGUGUUUACUAAAACAUCAGCAUUAAAAAAAAAAAAAAAAAAAAAGUUACAGGCAAUGAGGCAAUUAACGCCUGUGUACCACGACGAGUGCCUCAUCUUACUUACUAAUGGUUUGGGGCUGAGAACCAAGCCUGCUUUUAUAGAGAGUCCUACUUGCGAGACGUCCAAAAUAUUGCCCACAAGGGAGGGUGUUUUGAGAAGUUGGAUCACUGCAGACACACAGAGGCUUUUUUGUUGUGCUGUGCAUGUAAUUUACAAUCACAACUGAUGGACUCAGAGAAGCUGCUACUGUUGACUCCUGCAGAGAAAAUCGCGUAAACUUGCUGCACUUUGGAUGCUGUGCAGGAGUGGUGAGAAGUGUGUGCAGGCAGGAGCCAAGUUAGGCCCUCGGAAUUUUUCCACGGAGGAGAAUAGCUGAUUCAUUAGUGGCUCAUUUACGAUAAAGCCAAUUUUAACCUGUUUUCUCUUUUUUUUUUUAAAGCAGUCUGAGCUGCUUGGCUUGUAAGUGGUACAAUAAAGCUCAACACAUUCAGACCUGUGAUAAAUCUUUAUCACUAAUGAUAUUUAGCUCUUCCUUUUGGAGUUUUAAUGUGUCUUUUACCUCUCUUUUUGGUCCCUCUCUUCCCCUUAAGUGUUGCAAAUCUCUCCAAGUCUCAUCCCUUGUUUUCCCUUUCCUCUCAUUCCUCUCUGAUCUGUCACCCUUAUUGCAGGGAAGCUAACCCCUGGUUCUUCAGAGAUCUGUGAGUUCAUGGAGAGGAAUGUGUGUCCUUCCUGACAUUACAACGCUCUUUAUCAACUAACAAGAUGAGGGGAAGGAGGAGGAGGAGGGAGCGGGAAGGAAGAGAGGAGGAGGAUGUUAAGAUGUUAGAAACGGUUUGAGAGCUUAGGGGAAAAAAAAGAGGGCUCUUUGUGGCUGCUUAUCAGACAGGAUAUGAAGCAACUCAAUGGCUUUGGCAUUUGGCAAAAUAGCUUCCUUCAAUGGGCAUUUACUACAAGAGGCAUCCCCUGACAUGAGGCCACAUAUGCCUGAGUGAGUGAGUGAGAGAGAGAGAGGGAGAGAAUUUCAGGAAGAGGAAAGACAGCCGGAGGGUGUUUAAGAAGUUCCGUAUUUUGUUAAUUGCCCACGAUAAGAUGCAGCAAUUUGCCGGUAGUUGUGAUGAUUAUCAAUUGCAGCAAUUUAACAGAUGUUGUUGCACUGUUUGAGCUUUCAAACACAUCAGUCUUUUUUUUUCAUUGCUGGCUAAAGGACACUUCUGACUAAUUUCUGAAUUUUGGAGAAACGCCACGAGAAGAUGAGCCAAAUUUAUCUCACCAAAGGACACUUCUGCUUUCAUGCACGAAAACUGUCUCUCUCUCACGCACACACACACACAUGUUACAGUUUCUGAGUAUUAUUUUUGUUAAUGGGAUCUAAGGGGCAUCGUUUUCCUGAUGUGGUGUAAUUGAAGCUGCUGUAUUAAAGGGUUGUGUUCCUCUCCUGCUGCUGAGACACAAAGUACAGCAAAACCCCAUCCCAGUUAUUAACCCAGGAAGUCCCCAUGGUGCACUGCACUCUAAUGAGAGGCUGAUAUGUGUUUUAUUUUUCUCUCUUUUUUUUUUCAUUUACUUGUCAGCCUUUUGACCCCUCUGGAGCUCAUCUGGUGCUCAGUGGUCCACCUCUGUCUCUUCAUGGCGGCUUAUAGGUUUAAAAGUUUGCCAGUUUUUCCUCUUCUAGAAGACACUUCUUAGUUUUUUUCACUGACUUUAAAAUACUCUCACACUGAUCCUUAUAUUGAUGACCUGUGCAGUGAAAUUAGAGAAGAGAGGCAGUACUGGUUGUUUCUAUAUAAGGAAUUUUAGAGCAGUGGUUCUCAACUGGUGGGUCCCGACCCAAAAGUGGGUCGCGGACAUGUUCUGGAUGGGUCACAAACAGCUGGUCAAAAAAGUAAAUAUUUAAAGUGAUAUUUAUUAGAUAUUUGAUAAUUUCUGUAUAUGCAACUUCAGUAGUUGUCUUCCUCAUGUUGUCCCCUUCAUGUGCUCUGAAAUGCACUUCACUCAAUAAAUCAAGUGGAUUUAUGUUAAAGAUUAGAGUCUUUAAAGGAUUUUUUUCCUAAAAAAUAAAAUUUGCUUGGUUUGAAUUCUAUAAAAGUGACUUAAGAACCAUGGGAAAAUGUGGGUCCCAGAAUUAGACCAGUUGAGAACCACUGUUUUAGAGCCUGCUAUUCAAGAACUCUGAAGCACACAUCAUGACAUCAGGGCUGAACUGGUAUGUCUAGCAAAUAGUGAUUUAUCUGCGCUAACAAAGUGUCGAACUGUUAUGUUGCAUGUCACAUUCCCUCAUUAGUCUGCAUCCUGCUAAAGGUUACCUCGAACAAAUGCUCAACUUGACAAGAGCCACAUCUUAACGACAGUGGGGGUUGAUUGGAAACGCACUAUUCAUCCCAUAAAACACCACCAAUUUGGUUGAAAGGGGUCACAAGAAUCAGCUCAAACUCUUCACAGUGUGGGCCCAAAGGGUUAGAAUAUGAAAUAAGUGUCCUCCACUUUUUCUCCUUUCUUUUUGGUUGUAGCACGACUUCCACUUCUGGGACAGUAAAUAUUGAAAAUUGCAGGAAAUAAAAGACAGCCUUUAAUGCAGGUUCAAGCCACCUGCCACCUCAUCAGGAGCCUUACCUUUUGAACUUCAUGAGAAAAUUACACAACAGAUUUGCUGUUUGCAGGAUUAGCUGUGACGUCUCAAAGAAACUUGUUUAUACCAUCUCAUUAUGUGGUUCAAACAUGAUUUGUAUUCCUAUCCCCGUUCCACCAUUUAAUUAAUACUUCAAUAUCGAAAUGUUUACACGUUUCUUUGCCUUAUAGCCUGAAAACACACAAUAUUUUUAAUUAAUAUUAUCUAUGGGUUUAUUUAAUCAACUGCACACAAAUAUUUUCCAUUCAUUAGCGAUUGAUGUUUCAUUUGCCAACAUUUGCAGAUAAAUCUAAUUAAUGCCGCCCACACCCUCAGUCUAAACACAAUGGGCCUUCUUCUCACAACACAACAGCUCCUUGUCUUUAAACAAAUUAACACUAAUAUAUCUUAAUAGGGUUGAAAUUACAACCCCAUACAGCCCGGGGCCCAUUUCUGACAGCCGUUCUUCUUGUUCUUCACCAUCUUCCUGAACAUCUGGAGUUUCCCAUGAUGCUCUUUUUUAUUGGUCCUCUGGCUCGCUCUCAAUUUUUCACCUGAUUGGUUGUCUUUUACACCAUGUUCCUCCAGAGGAAUGCCAUCACUGUUGUGUAUCCAAAGGAGAGAUUAGCUCUACAAUCACUCAAAACACUCAAGAUUUUCUCACACAGGGCAUAACAGCAGCCACGGUUGUAUUGUCUGCUCCGCUUUGAUGUAGGACUUUGAGCCGUGAAGGACGUAUAAUAUCAUUUACAGUCAAAAUCCGGGGUGGUCUUUCCCAGUGUUAACAGCUCAGACCUGCUUUGUGUCCCACUGAUUCCAAAAGAGUGGAUUUUUCUCAGGCUGUUGAACGCUCACUGACUGGUUUAAUUGCUAGCAGACUCAAAGAGAUGGAUAUUUGAAUCACGCUGAGUAAAAUAUUCCUCCAUCUGGAUUUGAUAAGCUCAUAAAUGAAUGCCAUCUGAUGCUGAUUUUACACUUUACACUUCAAACAAUUACAUUAAUUCGAGAGCACUUGCUGUACUUUUACUUAAAAGUGAAAGGACACUAUCAUAGAGUGGCUAUGCGGUUGAACAAAUGUGCAAAUUCAUGCUCUGAAUGUCUUAAAGCAGCUUAAAUACCCCCUGAAAACCUAUAUUUUAGUAAAGAUUUGCACAUUAAGGGCUAAUAUCAGCCUCUUUAUUAGUGAGAACCAUUCUGCAGGGACAGAUAGUCUUCUCAGAGAAAAAGGGAUUGAUGCAUUACCACUAUUUUAACACCAAAACAGCUCUUAACUAAUGUUGGGAAAACAACAAAAACAACUGCCAAAAGAUCUCCUGCAAUCCCUGACUCAAUAACAUUUACACACCAGUGGCUUGGAUCACAAGAGUUCAUGAAAUAUGUGUCAAAACAGGUAGAGCAGAGGAAGCAUGAAUCUAUAAUUAUAUAGACGGUAUAAUUACAAAUCAAGCACGUACACAAUUCAUGGUAUAAUUAUGAACCUUUGCAGUUUUAAGCCACUAAUGGGAACUGGGAGUGAGGGGUUAUUCAACACCCAGACAGCGAAUUACGGUGUAGGCCUCGUUAAUUGGUUAUGCCCCCAGUUUAGAACGGGAACGUGAAAAGGUUGGCAGAUUUAUGGAGCAGUUGCACACUUACACAUCGGUGGUGUUUUGAAGAAGCAGUUUUUUUUUUUGUGCGUGUCUUGUUCAGCGUUUACUGGAAAGAUGUGUGACCACAUAACACGAAGAAAGAGGCUGUCAUGGAGGACUGACAGGUGAGUGAUGUUUAUAAGAAAUGAAGAUAUGCCACCAUGUUUCAUUUUGAGACUUUCACACAUGGUAAAAUGAUUUUUUUGUAGAAAAGCAGCCUUGCAAAAGCAGCCGAACGAUUAGCUGUGGGAGAAAAGGGGAAAAAAAAACGCUCCGGCUCACCAAAGCAGCUUGGUUUUGUAUGGAAACAACUGUGGCUGGAUGUUUGGUUCUCAUAGAAGCCACAUGACAGGGAGGUCAUGAGAGAGACAGCAGGCCCGGCACUGUGUGCGAUCCCACCACACUUAUUCCCUGCUGCACUUUUUGAUGUUUCCCUCCUUGACUUUUAUCACGGUUCCUCAAGAGACCCCUACUCUCACUGAUGUCGAGGAAGCAGACACACACACGUUCGCAAACACACACACCGACUCCUGCACCAUCUGAGCCGAAUCCUGGCUAGUGCUGCCCAUUUCCACCUUCAAAAACUCUUUUAACAAGCAGAGAAAUCAUUUAGCGGACACUUUCCUGGAUCAUAAAACACCAAAUGAUGGCUUUGGGAAUCCUGCGCUUUAUUGAUCUGCACUCUUCGAUUAAAAUAAGAGUACUUCCUGGGCCAGUCCUGGUCAGCUUGGUGGAGAGGAAAUGUUGGGAGGUAAUGAAAAGGGGGGGGGGGGGGGGGGUUGCUCGUGUGAGGCUGAAAUGUGAUCUGGAGCCUGUGUCGCAUUAGCCUUAAAGGCCGUGUGGCAGACGCACUGGCACCACAGAGCAGAGAGGAUGGGUGGCGGAGGAGAAGGAGGAGGAAGACGAAGGAGGGGGAGGCAAAUCGCCGGACACCCUGACGCAGGGAAGAGUAGGCUAAAGCAAAAAGAAGGAUUUGCAGCAUCCUCACUGGAAGAUCUCUGGCCCCUCCUUCUAGAAAUUGACAACAGAAGAGAGAGAGAAAGAUGCUUAUCCCUCAAUCUAAGUCACCUUUGUACCUGCUGCACACACUUCAUCACACUUCCCCCAUCAGCCUGUCAUCCCACAGGGGUCACGGUCAAGCUGGCGCUCCCUCUCUCUCUGUGUCAUGUUGUCUCUCUCCUGCUCUGUAAUUUCCUUUUUUUUUCCUCUCCUCUUUCCCGGAAAGAAUGUGUCUCCUGUCGCUCCUCGAGUCAGAGUCAGAGUCAGGGGGUCUAAAUAGCUCAUUUGGGUGUCUGACUCAGUUACGGAGUCCCAGAGGUGCCUGGAGGAUUCCAAGAAUUCCAGCUUUUGCACCCACAACAGUGACGCCACCUGAGGGAAUGUCAUAGAGAUCAUACCAGACACGUCUUGCACACACUCUGGAUUCAUCUUCCAGCUCCAACAUGAACCUCUGCAUCACGUCCAGAUAAGAGAAAUCUAAGAUAAGUGUGCAGCUGCAUAUGAAGCUUUUUUUAAAGUGGAAUACUGUGAGAAACACUGUUGAUGUGCACGUGAAUGACUGAGUGAUGAUGACAGAGAGGAUGAAGGAGUAGGGGAGGCAGAGAAGAAGGAGACACUGAGCCAGAGUGAGAAGAGUGGAGGGGGUAAUGACUAGGUCUGCUCAGGACAUAGGAGGCGACAGAGGGGGGAAGCGUCUCCGAUCGUCUCCUCGUGGCUCCUCUUUGGCGUCUGUGAUCCUCGGACCCUUCACGCAAUCUCCCUUAUUACAAGGCUUCCCCUCUCCACACGGGCACCACUACAAAAUGGAGCAAUUACAUUUAAUUAGGCUGCGGAGGGUAGCUCGCCUGCCCCAUCCCAAAACCUCAGAGAAGCGCAGACUUCAGGUAACACAACGGUCGGGGAAGAACUUCAAAGAGAUGCAAAAUUACAGCGCCAUUAGUGGAGCCACCACAGAACUGCUGUGAAGCCAGGGAAUCAUUUGACCCAGAGAGGUAGAUUCAAAGGAGUUAAAAACUGAAAAAGCAGAGGAGAGGAGACAAAAACAUCUCAGCAGCCAAAGAUUAAGGGGCAGACGAAGCACUUCUCUAAACAUUGUUUGUGUUGCAUGGGAGACUUGAAAAAUUAAGGAGUCUUUCCAACGCCUAUUAGUUAUCCCAGACCCCUUUGGCCCCCUCUGGAAAGAUGCUUCGUUUGGGGCAUGUCAAACAUUUUGUGGUUUUAUGUUUAAAAAGACAUAUUCCUGCUCCAAACAAACCAGGAUUUACUGUCCUUAUAAGUCACUCAGCCUGUACUAGGAUGAUGAUAUACGAGGCAAUCCCAUUUUAUCUGCCUGCUACUCGCAACACUGGAUUUUGGCUCACAGAGGGCACGAUGGCCCUAAAAAUUUUAUUGAUGCUGACUCACUAGGCCUCCAACCAGAGUGGAAAAUUCUGACUUAAACGCUGCUGGAUCUCCCGAGACAGAAGCACUCUUGUUUAAAAGCCACAGCGUUAACACACAGGUGAGCCAACAAACAAACAAACAAACAAAUAAACAAACAAACGACCAGGAAUCAUUCUGCAUUUUUUUCAUUUUUCCUCUUGGUUGUAAUGUAAUUAAGCAGAUUAUGGAGUCAGGUGAUGAGUCAGAGUUUUUUGUAAUGACACACAAUCAUGCGCACACACACACACUCUCACACACACACACAAUGAAAACAAACCUUGUGUUUAUGACUACAGAAACAUAAAAUUGACAUGCUUUUAUUCAGGGUAAUUGCAGGGUAAUCGCAAUUUUUGCAUUCUCCUCAUAGUAUCUCCACCAGCACCGCUGCCCUGACGCAUUAUAUUUUUAUAUUCUGGAAACCCAAAAUUUAAAGUAGUCCUCCAACCAUGUCAUUUAGAGUUUAAAAUAAUGUAUAAAAACAAGCAUCUAAGCGCCAAUGUCACGGAGGAUUAGGGCUACAUUUAGGCAUAGAUUUAAUAGACAUUUCAUGAAUGGUCUGAAAUUGGCAAGGAUUGUAUCAUAAUAUAAGAAUAACUCUAUUGAAGAGAUCAGAAUUGUUCAUCGAAAAGAAGAGAGUCAUGAAUUUAUGCAGUUUUAUUUAUAAAUGUGAGAGAAUAAAGUCAUAAAUUUAGAAGAUAAAGUCAAAUGUGAAAGAAUAACAUAAUAUUUUGAGGUCAAACUUUUAAAUUAAAAAGGUUGAAGCCGCAAGCUACAAGAUUAAAGUUUCACAUGUACAAAGAUGAGGUUGUAAUUUAAAAGAGUAAAGGUGUUAUUUUAUGGUAAAUAAGUUACAGAAUUACGGACUACAGUUAAUUGAUAUUGAGGCCAAAACAACAUUUGGGAUGAUACCGUGAGGCAGAUGGGUGUCAGUACCGAAUAGUUCAGAAUCCUGAUGACAGUGAAGGACUGAUGCGCUAAAAAACUAAAGGAGUAUUCAGUUUUUAAAAACCACAUUCAAGCAUAAUUUCCAAAGAUACUUCACUUUCCUGGUUUUAGUUCAGGUGGUUAGCUGCACUUCUGGUCUUCUCUUCUAAAAUAAUAAAAUGGCCAACCAUUAUUUUUUCUCCUGAAUUGAAUCUUAAAUCUUCUAAUAUAACAUCUUCAUUCUUAUAAAUUUAUGGCUUGGAUCUUAAAAUCUCAAAUUCAAAAGAUUACAGAAAAAAACCCUCUACUUUCAAAAGGUGGCACCACUCAUCUGUCAUACAUGAAAGACAAGCAUCAAUCAAAACUCAAAUGAUUGUCUUAUGUGUUUUUAAAAGUCUUUCUGAUGUUGGCUUUGAUGAUGAUGGAGCACUGAUGUUUACUACAUGACUGUACAACGAUAGUCACAUGGCUGUUUAUAACGGGCUUUACACUUUCAGUUUAUAAUCAUUCUAAGUAGUAUGGCAUUGAGUUGAGAACAUAGUACAUCCUGCAAUGCUGUGUGCCUCCAGUACGCGGAUGUAUAUACAUAAAAGCCUUUUUUUGGUAUUAGAUAGAAGCGCACUGGUCAUUUUGUAUCUAACUGCCCAGAAAUGCAUCAAGACUCUUUAAACUACACAAUAGUGGAGCUCCCCA